UACGGGGGGGGCAAGCGUUGUUCGGAAUUACUGGGCGUAAAGGGCUCGUAGGUGGCCAACUAAGUCAUGCGUGAAAUCCCUCGGCUUAACCGGGGAACUGCGUCUGAUACUGGAUGGCUUGAGUUUGGGAGAGGGAUGCGGAAUUCCAGGUGUAGCGGUGAAAUGCGUAGAUAUCUGGAGGAACACCGGUGGCGAAGGCGGCUCACUGGCCCGGUACUGACGCUGAGGCGCGAAAGCGUGGGGAGCAAACAGG
This 253-nucleotide ribosomal RNA is filed under the name uncultured bacterium. Its description in RNAcentral is "partial 16S ribosomal RNA". It matches the Rfam family "Bacterial small subunit ribosomal RNA", at positions 524 to 776 of the family's 1533-position model. The record is from RNAcentral.